ACUCCUACGGGAGGCAGCAGUGGGGAAUAUUGCACAAUGGGGGAAACCCUGAUGCAGCCAUGCCGCGUGUGUGAAGAAGGCCUUCGGGUUGUAAAGCACUUUCAGUAGGGAGGAAGGUAGUGUAGUUAACACCUGCAUUAUUUGACGUUACCUACAGAAGAAGCACCGGCUAACUCCGUGCCAGCAGCCGCGGUAAUACGGAGGGUGCGAGCGUUAAUCGGAAUUACUGGGCGUAAAGCGCAUGCAGGCGGCCUGUUAAGUCAGAUGUGAAAGCCCGGGGCUUAACCUCGGAAUUGCAUUUGAAACUGGCAGGCUAGAGUCUUGUAGAGGGGGGUAGAAUUUCAGGUGUAGCGGUGAAAUGCGUAGAGAUCUGAAGGAAUACCAGUGGCGAAGGCGGCCCCCUGGACAAAGACUGACGCUCAGAUGCGAAAGCU
This 434-nucleotide ribosomal RNA is filed under the name uncultured bacterium. Its description in RNAcentral is "bacterial SSU rRNA". It matches the Rfam family "Bacterial small subunit ribosomal RNA", at positions 335 to 761 of the family's 1533-position model. The record is from RNAcentral.